GGUCAAGCGAAUAAGUGCAUGUGGUGGAUGCCUUGGCGAUCACAGGCGAUGAAGGACGUAGUAGCUUGCGAAAAGCUGCGGGGAGCUGGCAAACGAGCUUUGAUCCGCAGAUGUCCGAAUGGGGAAACCCGGCCCGUAUGGGUCAUCCCUUGCUGAAUACAUAGGCAAGGGAGGCGAACGCAGUGAACUGAAACAUCUAAGUAGCUGCAGGAAAAGAAAUCAACCGAGAUUCCCAGAGUAGUGGCGAGCGAAAUGGGAACAGCCUUGUACUCUUUAGCAGUAUUGUUAGCGGAACGGAAUGGAAAGUCCGGCCAUAGUGGGUGAUAGCCCCGUACGCGAAAACAGUAUUGUGGAACUAGGUGUACGACAAGUAGGGCGGGACACGUGAAAUCCUGUCUGAAGAUGGGGGGACCAUCCUCCAAGGCUAAAUACUCGUGAUCGACCGAUAGUGAACCAGUACCGUGAGGGAAAGGCGAAAAGAACCCCGGGAGGGGAGUGAAAUAGAUCCUGAAACCGCAUGCAUACAAACAGUCGGAGCCUGGAAACGGGUGACGGCGUACCUUUUGUAUAAUGGGUCAGCGACUUACAUUCAGUGGCAAGCUUAACCGAUUAGGGAAGGCGUAGCGAAAGCGAGUCCGAAUAGGGCGUUCAGUCGCUGGGUGUAGACCCGAAACCAAGUGAUCUAUCCAUGGCCAGGUUGAAGGUGCGGUAACACGUACUGGAGGACCGAACCCACUAACGUUGAAAAGUUAGGGGAUGAGCUGUGGAUAGGGGUGAAAGGCUAAACAAACUUGGAAAUAGCUGGUUCUCUCCGAAAACUAUUUAGGUAGUGCCUCGUGUCUCACCUUCGGGGGUAGAGCACUGUCAUGGUUGGGGGGUCUAUUGCUGAUUACCCCGCCAUAGCAAACUCCGAAUACCGAAGAGUGCAAUCACGGGAGACAGACAUCGGGUGCUAACGUCCGGUGUCAAGAGGGAAACAACCCAGACCGCCAGCUAAGGUCCCUAAGAUUGGCUAAGUGGGAAACGAAGUGGGAAGGCUAAAACAGUCAGGAGGUUGGCUUAGAAGCAGCCACCCUUUAAAGAAAGCGUAAUAGCUCACUGAUCGAGUCGUCCUGCGCGGAAGAUGUAACGGGGCUAAGCCAGUCACCGAAGCUGCGGAUGCACGUAAGUGCAUGGUAGGAGAGCGUUCUGUAAGCCUGUGAAGGUGUCUUGUAAAGGAUGCUGGAGGUAUCAGAAGUGCGAAUGCUGACAUGAGUAGCGAUAAAGGGGGUGAAAGGCCCCCUCGCCGUAAGCCCAAGGUUUCCUACGCAACGUUCAUCGGCGUAGGGUGAGUCGGCCCCUAAGGCGAGGCAGAGAUGCGUAGCUGAUGGGAAGCAGGUUAAUAUUCCUGCACCGUCGUAUGAUGCGAUGGGGGGACGGAUCGCGGAAGGUUGUCCGGGUGUUGGAAGUCCCGGUCCCUACAUUGGAGAUGGCACUUAGGCAAAUCCGGGUGCGUGAUUCAAGGGUGUGGGGCGAGCGACGUUAGGUCGCGAAGCAAUUGGAAGUGGUUCCAAGAAAAGCCUCUAAGCUUCAGUCAUACGAGACCGUACCGCAAACCGACACAGGUGGGCGAGAUGAGUAUUCUAAGGCGCUUGAGAGAACUCGGGAGAAGGAACUCGGCAAAUUGGUACCGUAACUUCGGGAUAAGGUACGCCCUUGUAGUUUGACUGGCUCGCGCCAGAAGGAUGAAGGGGUUGCAAUAAAAUGGUGGCUGCGACUGUUUAAUAAAAACACAGCACUCUGCAAACACGAAAGUGGACGUAUAGGGUGUGACGCCUGCCCGGUGCCGGAAGAUUAAAUGAUGGGGUGCAAGCUCUUGAUUGAAGUCCCGGUAAACGGCGGCCGUAACUAUAACGGUCCUAAGGUAGCGAAAUUCCUUGUCGGGUAAGUUCCGACCUGCACGAAUGGCGUAACGAUGGCCACACUGUCUCCUCCCGAGACUCAGCGAAGUUGAAGUGUUUGUGAUGAUGCAAUCUCCCCGCGGCUAGACGGAAAGACCCCAUGAACCUUUACUGUAGCUUUGCAUUGGACUUUGAACCGAUCUGUGUAGGAUAGGUGGGAGGCUUUGAAACCGGGACGCUAGUUUCGGUGGAGCCGACCUUGAAAUACCACCCUGGUUUGUUUGAGGUUCUAACCUUGGCCCGUGAAUCCGGGUCGGGGACAGUGCAUGGUAGGCAGUUUGACUGGGGCGGUCUCCUCCCAAAGUGUAACGGAGGAGUUCGAAGGUACGCUUGGUACGGUCGGACAUCGUACCUAAAGUGCAAUGGCAAAAGCGUGCUUAACUGCGAGACCGACAAGUCGAGCAGGUGCGAAAGCAGGACAUAGUGAUCCGGUGGUUCUGUAUGGAAGGGCCAUCGCUCAACGGAUAAAAGGUACUCUGGGGAUAACAGGCUGAUACCGCCCAAGAGUUCAUAUCGACGGCGGUGUUUGGCACCUCGAUGUCGGCUCAUCUCAUCCUGGGGCUGUAGCCGGUCCCAAGGGUAUGGCUGUUCGCCAUUUAAAGAGGUACGUGAGCUGGGUUUAAAACGUCGUGAGACAGUUUGGUCCCUAUCUGCCGUGGGCGUUGGAAUCUUGACGGGGGCUGCUCCUAGUACGAGAGGACCGGAGUGGACGUACCGCUGGUGUACCUGUUGUCUCGCCAGAGGCAUCGCAGGGUAGCUAUGUACGGAAGAGAUAACCGCUGAAAGCAUCUAAGCGGGAAACUCGCCUGAAGAUGAGGAUUCCCUGGAGACUUGAUCUCCCUGAAGGGUCGUUCGAGACCAGGACGUUGAUAGGCUGGGUGUGGAAGCGCAGUAAUGCGUUCAGCUAACCAGUACUAAUUGCCCGUGCGGCUUGAUCCU
RNAcentral lists this ribosomal RNA (2879 nucleotides) under Ralstonia pseudosolanacearum. Its description in RNAcentral is "23S ribosomal RNA". It matches the Rfam family "Bacterial large subunit ribosomal RNA". RNAcentral also lists the same sequence under 2 other names. The record is from RNAcentral. Lineage: Bacteria; Pseudomonadati; Pseudomonadota; Betaproteobacteria; Burkholderiales; Burkholderiaceae.